GGGUGAGUAACACGUGGGUGAUCUGCCCUGCACUCUGGGAUAAGCCUGGGAAACUGGGUCUAAUACCGGAUAGGACCAUGCUUUAGUGCGUGUGGUGGAAAGUUUUUCGGUGUAGGAUGAGCCCGCGGCCUAUCAGCUUGUUGGUGGGGUAAUGGCCUACCAAGGCGGCGACGGGUAGCCGGACUGAGAGGUUGGUCGGCCACAUUGGGACUGAGAUACGGCCCAG
Molecule: ribosomal RNA, 226 nt
Filed under: uncultured Actinomycetales bacterium
Lineage: Bacteria; Bacillati; Actinomycetota; Actinomycetes; Actinomycetales
Description: partial 16S ribosomal RNA
Rfam family: Bacterial small subunit ribosomal RNA
Source: RNAcentral